CUCAGACAUGAGAGUGACGGGCGAUAUGUGCAUUAAAAGUUUAUAUUUCAAAAUAAAAUUUUGUUUUAAUUUUAAUUUCAAGUUCUUCUGCCUCUUAAAAAAUUAAAAUUGUUCUCAUGUUUAAGCAAUGCAUGUCAACUUUUUUAUUAUUUUUAUCUUGAUUUGUUUUAUUAUAAUAUUAGUAUUUCUUUAAGAUUAAACUUUUGUUUUUAUUUAAACAAUGAUAUAAAAAAUUAUAAAAAAAGUAGUUAUUAAUCGGGGGGUAUCGAUUAAAUCACACAAUUCCCUAAAUAUUAUUUUAACCGCCAAAUUAAAAAGAUUUUUUUUAUUUAAAUACAGUCUAAUUUUAAAAUAAAA
RNAcentral lists this ribosomal RNA (357 nucleotides) under Jutarus sp. GD117 1. Its description in RNAcentral is "partial small subunit ribosomal RNA". Lineage: Eukaryota; Metazoa; Arthropoda; Arachnida; Trombidiformes; Eriophyidae. The record is from RNAcentral.